This is a non-coding RNA of Caenorhabditis elegans, 207 nucleotides long. The record is from Ensembl. Lineage: Eukaryota; Metazoa; Nematoda; Chromadorea; Rhabditida; Rhabditidae.
UAUAAAUUGGUGGAUGAGAGCAUCAAACACCAAUAAAGAGGAAACAAUUCAAAAAAGCAGGAGAAAAACGAAUCGGAAUAUCGUCCUCCUCACUUUGUGUCGAUGCUCCGUGUUUGUUUUUCUCGCCACCUACCGGUGAAAAAACUCUUUCCCCCUCUCUCAGGGUAGAUCAUGUGUUCGAAACUAAAAAGAGCACACCACGGCUCC